UACGGAGGGGACUAGCGUUGUUCGGAUUCAUUGGGCGUAAAGGGUGCGUAGGUGGUGCUGUAAGUCAGGUGUGAAAUCUCGGGGCUCAACCCCGAAACUGCACUUGAUACUGCAGUGCUCGAGGACUGGAGAGGAGAUUGGAAUUCAUGGUGUAGCAGUGAAAUGCGUAGAUAUCAUGAGGAAGACCAGUGGCGAAGGCGGAUCUCUGGACAGUUCCUGACACUGAGGCACGAAGGCCAGGGGAGCAAACGGG
This 253-nucleotide ribosomal RNA is filed under the name uncultured bacterium. RNAcentral describes it as "partial 16S ribosomal RNA". It matches the Rfam family "Bacterial small subunit ribosomal RNA", at positions 524 to 776 of the family's 1533-position model. The record is from RNAcentral.